CGCCUGGGGAGUACGGCCGCAAGGUUAAAACUCAAAUGAAUUGACGGGGGCCCGCACAAGCGGUGGAGCAUGUGGUUUAAUUCGACGCAACGCGAAGAACCUUACCUGGCCUUGACAUGCAGAGAACUUUCCAGAGAUGGAUUGGUGCCUUCGGGAACUCUGACACAGGUGCUGCAUGGCCGUCGUCAGCUCGUGUCGUGAGAUGUUGGGUUAAGUCCCGUAACGAGCGCAACCCCUAUCCCUAGUUGCUAGCAGUUCGGCUGAGAACUCUAGGGAGACUGCCGGUGACAAACCGGAGGAAGGUGGGGAUGACGUCAGGUCAUCAUGGCCCUUACGGCCAGGGCUACACACGUGCUACAAUGGCGCGCACAGAGGGCUGCAAACCCGCGAGGGGGAGCCAAUCUCACAAAACGCGUCGUAGUCCGGAUCGCAGUCUGCAACUCGACUGCGUGAAGUCGGAAUCGCUAGUAAUCGUGAAUCAGAAUGUCACGGUGAAUACGUUCCCGGGCCUUGUACACACCGCCCGUCACACCUUGGGAGUGGAUUGCACCAGAAGUGGUUAGUCUAACCUUCGGGAGGACGAUCACCACGGUGUGGUUCAUGACUGGGGUGAAGUCGUAACAAGGUAACCGUA
RNAcentral lists this ribosomal RNA (634 nucleotides) under uncultured Marinobacter sp. RNAcentral describes it as "bacterial SSU rRNA". It matches the Rfam family "Bacterial small subunit ribosomal RNA", at positions 870 to 1504 of the family's 1533-position model. Lineage: Bacteria; Pseudomonadati; Pseudomonadota; Gammaproteobacteria; Pseudomonadales; Marinobacteraceae. The record is from RNAcentral.